RNAcentral lists this long non-coding RNA (710 nucleotides) under Rattus norvegicus (Norway rat). Its description in RNAcentral is "long non-coding RNA NONRATT026813". The record is from RNAcentral. Lineage: Eukaryota; Metazoa; Chordata; Mammalia; Rodentia; Muridae.
GGAAAUGGGUUACAACUGAUCAAAUUGUUAGCCAAAUGGGUCUUGUGGGAACCUAUAACAACCCAAUAUAUUCUCAGUGCUAUUGAUCACAUUCCAUAAGCGAUAAUAAGGCCCCAUUGCUGAAGACAACACCCAGGCAACUCACUGAGAAUGGAAAAGUCAAGCUGAUGCCAGUUUAGAGCCGUCACUCCUACCGAUCAGUGUUCGUGGUACUAGAAUGUAUUCUGCUUGUUACCAGAGAAACCAGGUGUGGACCAAGAAUUACAUUGAGAGAACUAUUGGCCUGGCCUUUUCCUAGUGAAGAUGCUCCAUCUCACCCUGCAGCUAUGAUGGUGACCACAUCUGCUACAGGACAACCCUUGCCUGCCACAGGACUGACUGUCUAUGUAAAAGCUUAACCACUGAGACCAAUGCCUUUCCUACUUGCCUUUCAUGAGUUUUCUCUCUCUGUUUUUCCUCUAGGAUAAUGGUAUUACCCUACAUAUAUCAAAUACAUGAGAAAGUACAGAAUUUUCUAAGACAGUGUCACAUUGCCAUGAGAACUGGAAUAUUCUAGACUUAUCCAUAGUCCUUGUUCUAAAACGAGAUGUGAGAAUCACUUGGAGGCCUUGUUGAAAUAGAUUGCUGACCUCAUCUUCACUUUCAGAGUUUGGGUUCACUCCAGAUGCUUAGAGAUCCAAGAGUUUCCAGCACAUUCUCAUGUUGUGUGG